Octopus sinensis (East Asian common octopus) is the source of this 453-nucleotide long non-coding RNA. RefSeq lists it as uncharacterized. NCBI's taxonomy places the organism in Eukaryota, Metazoa, Mollusca, Cephalopoda, Octopoda, Octopodidae. The record is from RefSeq and is a predicted model, not a curated record. The transcript has 3 exons.
GAUUGGGUAGGGUCAAAAGCAAUUUUGAUAUAGAAAACGAGUUGGUAGGAUACCUGCUAAAUUUUAGGUUUAUCCACUGGGGUGCGAGGUACACAACGGUGGGUGUGCUUUUCGACACCCCUGCGGAGGCUCAAAAAUUUGACUAUAACCCUAAUUUGGUUUCUCCCCACCUAUGGUGGGCAAAAAUUGACAAGCGCCUGAGGGUGUGGGCUGUCACCCGGAAUAGAAACUGAAUGGAUAGAAGAUACUUAUCUUUUGGGGUCUGGGUGGUGACCCAGCCAGGCGCUUAAAUGUAAAAAUUUUGCCAGCGGCUGAUUGGGUAGGGUCAAAAGCAAUUUUGAUAUAGAAAACGAGUUGGUAGGAUACCUGCUAAAUUUUAGGUUUAUCCACUGGGGUGCGAGGUACACAACGGUGGGUGUGCUUUUCGACACCCCUGCGGAGGCUCAAAAAUUU